This 773-nucleotide ribosomal RNA is filed under the name uncultured bacterium. Its description in RNAcentral is "bacterial SSU rRNA". It matches the Rfam family "Bacterial small subunit ribosomal RNA", at positions 8 to 796 of the family's 1533-position model. The record is from RNAcentral.
AGAGUUUGAUCCUGGCUCAGAGCGAACGCUGGCGGCAGGCUUAACACAUGCAAGUCGAACGGAAAGGCCCUUUCGGGGGUACUCGAGUGGCGAACGGGUGAGUAACACGUGGGUGAUCUGCCCUGCACUUUGGGAUAAGUCUGGGAAACUGGGUCUAAUACCGGAUAGGACUACGCGAUGCAUGUCGUGUGGUGGAAAGCUUUUGCGGUGUGGGAUGGGCCCGCGGCCUAUCAGCUUGUUGGUGGGGUGAUGGCCUACCAAGGCGACGACGGGUAGCCGGCCUGAGAGGGUGACCGGCCACACUGGGACUGAGAUACGGCCCAGACUCCUACGGGAGGCAGCAGUGGGGAACAUUGCACAAUGGGCGCAAGCCUGAUGCAGCGACGCCGCGUGAGGGAUGACGGCCUUCGGGUUGUAAACCUCUUUCAGUGCCGACGAAGCGCAAGUGACGGUAGGCAUAGAAGAAGGACCGGCCAACUACGUGCCAGCAGCCGCGGUAAUACGUAGGGUCCGAGCGUUGUCCGGAAUUACUGGGCGUAAAGAGCUCGUAGGUGGUUUGUCGCGUUGUUCGUGAAAACUCACAGCUCAACUGUGGGCGCGCGGGCGAUACGGGCAGACUUGAGUACUGCAGGGGAGACUGGAAUUCCUGGUGUAGCGGUGGAAUGCGCAGAUAUCAGGAGGAACACCGGUGGCGAAGGCGGGUCUCUGGGCAGUAACUGACGCUGAGGAGCGAAAGCGUGGGGAGCGAACAGGAUUAGAUACCCUGGUAGUCC